GAUGAACGCUGGCGGCGUGCUUAACACAUGCAAGUCGAGCGAAGCACUUAAGUUUGAUUCUUCGGAUGAAGACUUUUGUGACUGAGCGGCGGACGGGUGAGUAACGCGUGGGUAACCUGCCUCAUACAGGGGGAUAACAGUUAGAAAUGACUGCUAAUACCGCAUAAGACCACAGUACCGCAUGGUACAGUGGUAAAAACUCCGGUGGUAUGAGAUGGACCCGCGUCUGAUUAGGUAGCUGGUGGGGUAACGGCCUACCAAGCCGACGAUCAGUAGCCGACCUGAGAGGGUGACCGGCACCCUUGGGACUGAGACACGGCCCAGACUCCUACGGGAGGCAGCAGUGGGGAAUAUUGCACAUGGAGGAAACUCUGAUGCAGCGACGCCGCGUGAAGGAUGAAGUAUUUCGGUAUGUAAACUUCUAUCAGCGGGGAAGAAAAUGACGGUACCUGACUAAGAAGCCCCGGCUAACUACGUGCCAGCAGCCGCGGUAA
RNAcentral lists this ribosomal RNA (494 nucleotides) under uncultured bacterium. RNAcentral's name for it is "partial 16S ribosomal RNA". It matches the Rfam family "Bacterial small subunit ribosomal RNA", at positions 28 to 523 of the family's 1533-position model. The record is from RNAcentral.